UUAAAUUGAAGAGUUUGAUCAUGGCUCAGAUUGAACGCUGGCGGCAGGCCUAACACAUGCAAGUCGAACGGUAACAGGAAGCAGCUUGCUGCUUCGCUGACGAGUGGCGGACGGGUGAGUAAUGUCUGGGAAACUGCCUGAUGGAGGGGGAUAACUACUGGAAACGGUGGCUAAUACCGCAUAACGUCGCAAGACCAAAGAGGGGGACCUUCGGGCCUCUUGCCAUCAGAUGUGCCCAGAUGGGAUUAGCUAGUUGGUGAGGUAACGGCUCACCAAGGCGACGAUCCCUAGCUGGUCUGAGAGGAUGACCAGCCACACUGGAACUGAGACACGGUCCAGACUCCUACGGGAGGCAGCAGUGGGGAAUAUUGCACAAUGGGCGCAAGCCUGAUGCAGCCAUGCCGCGUGUAUGAAGAAGGCCUUCGGGUUGUAAAGUACUUUCAGCGGGGAGGAAGGUGUUGUGGUUAAUAACCACAGCAAUUGACGUUACCCGCAGAAGAAGCACCGGCUAACUCCGUGCCAGCAGCCGCGGUAAUACGGAGGGUGCAAGCGUUAAUCGGAAUUACUGGGCGUAAAGCGCACGCAGGCGGUCUGUCAAGUCGGAUGUGAAAUCCCCGGGCUCAACCUGGGAACUGCAUUCGAAACUGGCAGGCUUGAGUCUUGUAGAGGGGGGUAGAAUUCCAGGUGUAGCGGUGAAAUGCGUAGAGAUCUGGAGGAAUACCGGUGGCGAAGGCGGCCCCCUGGACAAAGACUGACGCUCAGGUGCGAAAGCGUGGGGAGCAAACAGGAUUAGAUACCCUGGUAGUCCACGCCGUAAACGAUGUCUACUUGGAGGUUGUGCCCUUGAGGCGUGGCUUCCGGAGCUAACGCGUUAAGUAGACCGCCUGGGGAGUACGGCCGCAAGGUUAAAACUCAAAUGAAUUGACGGGGGCCCGCACAAGCGGUGGAGCAUGUGGUUUAAUUCGAUGCAACGCGAAGAACCUUACCUGGUCUUGACAUCCACGGAAGUUUUCAGAGAUGAGAAUGUGCCUUCGGGAACCGUGAGACAGGUGCUGCAUGGCUGUCGUCAGCUCGUGUUGUGAAAUGUUGGGUUAAGUCCCGCAACGAGCGCAACCCUUAUCCUUUGUUGCCAGCGGUCCGGCCGGGAACUCAAAGGAGACUGCCAGUGAUAAACUGGAGGAAGGUGGGGAUGACGUCAAGUCAUCAUGGCCCUUACGACCAGGGCUACACACGUGCUACAAUGGCGCAUACAAAGAGAAGCGACCUCGCGAGAGCAAGCGGACCUCAUAAAGUGCGUCGUAGUCCGGAUUGGAGUCUGCAACUCGACUCCAUGAAGUCGGAAUCGCUAGUAAUCGUGGAUCAGAAUGCCACGGUGAAUACGUUCCCGGGCCUUGUACACACCGCCCGUCACACCAUGGGAGUGGGUUGCAAAAGAAGUAGGUAGCUUAACCUUCGGGAGGGCGCUUACCACUUUGUGAUUCAUGACUGGGGUGAAGUCGUAACAAGGUAACCGUAGGGGAACCUGCGGUUGGAUCACCUCCUUACCUUAAAGAAGC
This 1556-nucleotide ribosomal RNA is filed under the name Salmonella enterica subsp. enterica serovar Manhattan str. SA20034532. RNAcentral describes it as "bacterial SSU rRNA". It matches the Rfam family "Bacterial small subunit ribosomal RNA". Lineage: Bacteria; Pseudomonadati; Pseudomonadota; Gammaproteobacteria; Enterobacterales; Enterobacteriaceae. The record is from RNAcentral.